This 497-nucleotide ribosomal RNA is filed under the name uncultured bacterium. Its description in RNAcentral is "partial 16S ribosomal RNA". It matches the Rfam family "Bacterial small subunit ribosomal RNA", at positions 28 to 507 of the family's 1533-position model. The record is from RNAcentral.
GACGAACGCUGGCGGCGUGCCUAAUACAUGCAAGUUGAGCGAUGAAGAUUGGUGCUUGCACCAAUUUGAAGAGCAGCGAACGGGUGAGUAACGCGUGGGGAAUCUGCCUUUGAGCGGGGGACAACAUUUGGAAACGAAUGCUAAUACCACAUAACAACUUUAAACAUAAGUUUUAAGUUUGAAAGAUGCAAUUGCAUCACUCAAAGAUGAUCCCGCGUUGUAUUAGCUAGUUGGUGAGGUAAAGGCUCACCAAGGCGAUGAUACAUAGCCGACCUGAGAGGGUGAUCGGCCACAUUGGGACUGAGACACGGCCCAAACUCCUACGGGAGGCAGCAGUAGGGAAUCUUCGGCAAUGGACGAAAGUCUGACCGAGCAACGCCGCGUGAGUGAAGAAGGUUUUCGGAUCGUAAAACUCUGUUGGUAGAGAAGAACGUUGGUGAGAGUGGAAAGCUCAUCAAGUGACGGUAACUACCCAGAAAGGGACGGCUAACUACGUG